GGCCCUGUGGCCUAAUUUAUAAGGCUUCUCUUAAAGCGAAGACUGCAGGUUCAAGUUCUGUCUGGGUCG
Molecule: transfer RNA, 69 nt
Filed under: Enterobius vermicularis (human pinworm)
Lineage: Eukaryota; Metazoa; Nematoda; Chromadorea; Rhabditida; Oxyuridae
Rfam family: tRNA
About the family: Transfer RNA (tRNA) molecules are approximately 80 nucleotides in length. Their secondary structure includes four short double-helical elements and three loops (D, anti-codon, and T loops).
Source: Rfam by way of RNAcentral